Molecule: long non-coding RNA, 375 nt
Filed under: Lonchura striata (white-rumped munia)
Lineage: Eukaryota; Metazoa; Chordata; Aves; Passeriformes; Estrildidae
Description: domestica (Bengalese finch) lncRNA (ENSLSDG00000014644.1)
Source: RNAcentral
CAGCCACUGAGGGCUGCUCAUGCAGCAAAAAUGUACAGGACAGCAGAGUCACCCUUCCUUCCUUCCCCAAAGUCAAGGAAGGAAGGACCGUCUCCUUGAUGACCUUGAUUAGAGCUGAUGGACAGCAUGGGGCUUCCAUAAGGAAAUUUGAUGGCUAGCUUCUUCAGCUAAUGGAUGACACAGAAUAUUGCCUGAAUCUAUUAUAUAUCUAUGAACACCAAAUUCCUAGAUUUCAAGACCCUCCCAAUUGCUGGAAGUCAUCUUAAGAGGUUGCUUGACAUGGGCCUCAGGAAUGCCUUGUGGAGUUCAGCACUCAGCUCUGUCACCACAGCCUCGCAGAGAGGAGUGGAUGGUUGUGUCUGGGAGUCCAUCUAA